Molecule: non-coding RNA, 6026 nt
Organism: Microcebus murinus (gray mouse lemur)
Lineage: Eukaryota; Metazoa; Chordata; Mammalia; Primates; Cheirogaleidae
Source: RefSeq, a predicted model, not a curated record
GGAUAUCUGGAAGGUUAGAGAAUUGGCAAGAGAAAUGGGAUCAGAAAAUUGGCAGAAACCAAGGAGAGCUGGGUGGCUGGGACCAGAGCUAAGGAUUUUGCCACAAACAGCCUGCUGCCAUUGCUGAACACGAAUGAAGAAACUGAGGCUCAAAGCAGGCCAAUGACUUGCCCAAUGUCAUGCAGAGAGCUGUGGUCAAGACACAUGUUGAACCCAAACUUCCUGAGUUGUAAAGUGCUCCUGGGCCUAUGAGAAGGGACAGAGUGAGGUGUGGCAGCCAGGAGGGCAUCUUGGUGGAGGUGGGGGAAGGGAGAUGGAUAAUUAUUAAAAGAUGGCCAAAGCUGGGUGAAAGAUGAAAAUAAAACAAGUGAUACUAUGAAAAUAAUAAUACGGAAACGCAGAGCCUCAGACCUGGCUCUAGAUGGAUUAAAUCAGAAUCUGCCUUUUAACAACACCCCCAGGAUACUUGGACACAGAUGAACUCCUUAAAAAGAGAACUUAUCAAAACAAAAAUAUCAACUUAACACGGGCAGGACCAACUGACACUGGAAUGACAUCCUUAAUAAUGUCAGGAAUUUCCUCAUCCUAGAAGUGAUCAAACAGAGGCUUUUCACAGAUGACGAGCAGAGAAAUCAUUUAUUGAUUCAUUCUUCACACGUUGAGUGAGCACCUACUAAGUGUUAGGCAUUGUUCUGGUCAUGAAGAAAACAGAGAGUUCACAGAGCUGCCAGCGUGCCGGAGGAGACACAUAUAUCAUCGCAAAUGUUAAAAAGCACCACGAGGGAGCAAACACGGUGCAGGGUUGGAGAACAACAGAAAGGAACCCGUUUAGAUGUGUCAGGAAGGGCAUUGUGCGAAGGUGGCAUUUAAGUGGAGAAGUGGCUGUCUUGGUGUGUUGGGCUGCUGUGUAACAAAAUCCCAUAAACUGUGUGGCUUAGAGACAGCAAACGUUCAUUUCUCCGAGGUCUGGAGGCGGGGAUGUCCGGUGAGGGCCUGCUUCUCAUACAUGGCACCUUCUCUGCAGGUCCUGACCAGGUGGAAGAGGCCAACAGGUUCCCUUGGGCCUCUUUGAUCCGAGCACUAAUCUCACCUCCCAAAGACCCUGCCUCUUAGUACCACCACCUUGGGGAUUAAGGUUCCUCAUAGGAAUCUCGGGGGGACACACACACUCCGGCCACAGGCUAGGGAAGGGAUGAACAGGAGCUGCUGGUGGGAGGAAGGGCUUGAAGAGGGGUUUAAGCUGGAGGAAGAGCAUGAGCAAAGGCCCUGGGGCCAGAAGGAGCUCCGCGUGUCAGAGAGGCUGCAGGCGAGCUGGUGGGCAGCGCAGCGGUGGAGAGUGGAAGGGGGUGAUCAUGGGAUGGCAGGUCCUGUCACUCAGCCCCCUGUAGGGCAAAGGAAGGCAGCUGGACUUGACACGCAGGGAGUUCUAAUGUGAGGUUUCCACUUCAGUGCAGUCUCAGAAGUUUCCAUCUAUAUUAGACAAGACUCUGUGGGGUGCAAGUGGUUAGAAACCCAUCGCAAAAUAACCUCAGCAAAAAAUGGGCAUCGAUGGAAAGAACCUUGAGGCAGCUCAUAGCAUUUGCCUUUUUCUUUCGAAUGAUCUGAUUUGGAACAGGUAACCGCGUCUAUAUGGUCUGGCCUCCUCCGCAGAGUGGCUUUUCCCCUGUCUCCCCUGCUCUGUGCCCCUGGCGUCUCCAGUCGCCCUGCCUGGUGGUCGGGCCUGGCUAGCGGAGGGCUCAAGGGCAGGAUUGGGGGGCCGGGUAUUUAUUGCCUCCCCACUGGGACCAGCCCCAGCCCCCACCCCGGAUCUAGGGAGUCCCUUGGGUCCCUUCUUGAUCACCUAAUUGGAGAAUACCAGCUGUCUCCUACAGGACCUGAGCAAUUCACCCAGGUGUGAGAAGUGAACUAGCACGAGAGUGAACCCUUGGUCCGCCCUGUUCUUCAACCCCCCAGAAACAACCGGCGCCCCAGCUUUUUUGUGUCUACCUAUCCAGAAAUGCUAUUGCAGGUUUUUGUCUUUUUCCUUUUGUUGAUUACCAAUAACUGGUGAGUCCAGAGUCUCCAGGCCAGACAUGUGAAUGGUCCCCCCAGAGACCGGGUUCAGCUUGAUUUUCCUCUCGUCCCUGGGCAUCCUCGCAAGAGCACUGUUCUCAGUGGGCGGAGUCCAGAAGCCAUGGCAUUCUGGGAGGGACGAUGUCCCGCAUGGAGGCAUUGAAUCAUUGACACUUGGGCAUCAGUAGGACAUCUGCCAACCCCACGAUGCGGUUUUGGCGAGAGCAAGGCAUCAGCACUCCCCGGUCCCGGGGAUUCAGAUGUGUGUCGGCCAAUUUGGGAAAAUCCUUAAGGCUGGGAAUGCCGGCUGCAGGCCACCUUGGGCAGGAGGGCCGCACUUGACCUUCAGCUGGUUUUGGCCCUGCUUAGCCGGGUGGUCUACCUUUUCCCAAAGAAACCAACGUGCAAUUUUUCUGAUUCUUGAAAGACUUCAUAGUCUCGCUUCCAUGAGGCUAUUUCCUCCUGGGGGCUUCCAGCUAGGCUUGCUGAGUUCAAAUCCCGACUUCGCCACUUCCUAGCUGGGAGACCUUGGGCACUAUGUUUAACUUCUCUGUGCCUCAGUUUCUUCCUCUGUGAAAUGGGGAUAAUACUAACAAUAAAACCUACUUCAUAGGGUUGCCGUGGGAAUUUUAAAUGAGCAAAUAAACAUAAAGCACUUGACAUAGGGUUUGGCAUGGAGCAAGUUGCUCCAAAAUGUUAGCUAUUUUUGUUAGGAUGAAAAUUAACAUUUAAUCAAAUGCUUGCUGUGCAUACACGCCUGCUUGCUAUAUAUACACAACUGCAUUUUAUCUUGUGGAAUUCUCACAACAACCCUGUGAGUUAGGCCCACAUAUCCUUAUUUUACAGAUGAGGAAACUGAGGCUCAAAGCGGAUAUGGGACUUGUUCAGAAUCGCACCGCUAGUACACAGCGGAGUUUGCUCUGCAGCAGUGCCCCGAACUAGCCCUGGGACGGAAGUGCGAAGCCCCAGCUAGCUUAUUUAUUUGUGCACUUUGGUUUGCAUCUUUGUAUGGUCUCUCUGGGCUUUUGCAACCAGGCUGUUUUCACUUGUAAACAUCUUGAGGGUAGGACCCACGUCUGAGACACCCAAGAGGCUGAGCUUCUGCAACUCGCUUUAUACUGAGAAAAUUGCUCGAGCUGUUUGUUCAAAGAAGAGAUUCUCUAACACGUUGGCUGCGGGGUCUGACUCAGAAACAGUGAGGGGGGCCUUGGAAUCUGAAAAUUUUUUUUAAACCCCACGACGCUGGGCAUUCUUAGGCUAAGGCUGGUUUGGAAACUUUUGCCGCAUAGAACUGGAGCGCCCUCUGCUGUCGAAGAAGAAGACGGCAAUGAAGCAGACAGAGGCACUCCCAGGAUGGGGCCGGUCCUUUAGAUGGACCACAGCCAGGUGGGGACCCAGGGACAAACGCCUUCAGCAGGGAACAGAACUGUGGGGAGCUUGGCUCUUCUUGGCUGGGUACGGGGCUGGGUGAUGGAGGAGGAGGUACCACCCAAACAAAAAUAACUGGCUCUCUGAACAAAACAACACAAAGAAACAAACACAGGCGUACCAAGCAUGAUUUGUGGCAUGUGUCUAUUUGCAUGGUGUGGAUGCUCUUGCCAGGGCCGAUUUGACAUCUCCGAACACAGAGUGGGAAGCGAUGCUCACGCUGGCUCUCGUGGGAGCGAGGAGGGGUCGGCUCCAACAUAGUACUGGUUGACCAAAAGGACAGGGAGCAGGGGCAGGGGGAGUGGGUGGUGAGGAGUCCCGCUGGGCCAGAGAGGAGAACACAGAGGUCAGGCUGGUUGGAGUGGGGUCGAGCUCUUGAUGGCCUUGAAUGCCAGAAUUGGGGCUUAAGGGUCAAAAGGAAAGGGUGACUCUCGCAUGCAAGAGAAGAGAAUUCAGCCUGGCCAAGGGGAGUGGGUCGUCGUGGUAAUGAUCUUUCAGCAGGGGGAGGUGUUUGCAUUGCGGUGGGCACCAAGUUUUACGGACAGUAUAUCAUUAAUUCUCCUAGCAACUCAAAGAGGCAGAUAGUAUUUUCAUCCCCUCUUUAGAGAAGGGGAAACUGAGGCACAGAGAAGUUAAGCAAGCUGCCCAAGGACACACAGCUGGUAAGUGGCAGAGCUAGGCUCAAACCCAGGCAGCCUUAACCCCCGUGUCCUGUUCCGUAGAAAACUUAGUCUCUUCACCUACAUAAUCAGCACGAAGGCGACAAGGCCAAUGAGCAUGGGGUUGGACUUAUACUUAUCCAGAACAACAACAACAAUAAAAGUAAUAGUAACAAAUAUUUCGUUGAGGGCUUCCUUUCUGGCGUCAGGGAGAUCCGGGUUCCAACCCUAGCUCUGCCGUGCAUUAAACCGACUGGGUUACAUAAACUCUUUGAGCCUUGAUCUUCUCAUCUGCAAACUGGGGGUAAAAGUACCUAAAUCAUGAGGCCGUUGGAUGGUAAAUGAGAAAAUGGAUGAAAAUUGUGCCUGUCAGCGACCGUCUAAAGGUUAAAGGGCCUGGCGGGGAGAGGGAGAACAGUCCCGGGUUUGGAUGCAGGGAGGGACAACAGCUAGCCACGGAUCAGCUGGAGGGCACCCCUCCUGCGCUGGCUCCCAAGGCCAAGGGCAAGCCUGUGCCUUUCCGGAAUUUCAGCCUUGCAAGUAGGACAGAAUCGCGAGCAAGCCCACAGCGGCCACGUGCCGAAUUCCCACGGCGCCCCAGGAGGCGGUCGCCGGUUAGGGCCACCGUUUCCCAGCCUGCGCGCGCAGCUGCCCCAGGACGCGGCACAGCAUUUUAGAGAAUUUUCCGAGGCAGCGCAGCGACAUCUGCCGGACGGCUUGCGAACUGCAACCUCAAGGCGCUCACCUUUUGACCGUCCCAGGGAGCCACGUUUCUUUUCCACGAUGUCCCAGCUUUUGGACUCUUAAGAAUGCAAACUGCCUCUCCCGACCUUGAGUUAAUUCAGUUUUGUCCCCUGAGCGUGUUGAAGGGCAGGCUGGGGGCUGGAAUGGCCGUUUCUGCUUGUGUGCCUCGCUGCCUAGACUCCCCGGAGGCUCCCCCCCCUCGCCGUUCCCUCCCCAGCGCAGACACCUUCAGCCCCAGCCACACCGCAGACACCUGGCUGCCUGAGGACUGGCAGUUCCUGAGUUCCAAAGGAGUGGUGGCAGGGGUUCAGGCCCCACCUUCCCUGCUCCCUCGGGCUCCCAGGUGAAAAGCCUGGUGGGGCGGCUACAGGCGGCGGGGCAGUGAGCAAGAGAACCUUGAAACCAGGAAGGAACAGCAAGGAACAGCAAGGAACAGCACGCGGCACCUUCCCCGCCUCUCAGCCCCGACCUGAGAAUGCUGCCUCACCUCAAAGCACCGUGCACUGCGGUUUAUGAAACAAGCGCUGGAGGAAAGGGGGUCCCGCUAUCUUUUCGGGGUGCAGCCAGCUCAUCAGGCACCGUCAGACUGCCUGGCUCAGGGGGACUUAAAUCCCAGCUCCGAGGAGCUCUGAGCAGAAUGGAAGUAAUACCAGUUUCUAUCUGACUCAGAGAGUUGUUCUGAGAAUGAAGCACAUUACUAAAGCCUAGUUCAGAGAGCCGGCCGCUGUGGCCUGUAGUCCCAGCUACUCGGGAGGCCGAGGCAGGAGGAUCGCUUGAGCCCAGGAGUGUGAGACCAGCCUGGGCAAUGUAGCGAGACCCCAUCUCGGGGUGAAAAAGCAGUUUUGUGCAAAGCUCAUUACACAUGGCUAGUUGCAAUGAAAUUGAGCUAUUCAUUUAAGAAAUAUUUAUUGAGCAUGUACUAUGUAAUCUAUGGAUCAAUGUACUAGACACUAGGAAUACAGCAGGGAAUGAGAAAAGAUCCCUGCCCGGAGGGGCAGGGGCACAGGCUUACAUUCUAGCAGAGAAUGACAGCAAUGAUCAUAAUCCAUACAUAAGUGAAUUAUAGGGCAGUAUUGUCCAAUAGAAAUAUGACACGAGCCAUGCAUGUAAUUUAAAAUUUUUAAGUAUCAUCAAAAAAGUGAA